AGGAGCCGAAGAAGGACGGGACUAACACCGAUAUGCUUUGGGGAGCUGUACGUAAGCGUUGAUCCAGAGAUUUCCGAAUGGGGGAACCCACUAUCUUUAGUCGGAUAGUAUCCUUACGUGAAUACAUAGCGUGAGGAAGGCAGACCCAGGGAACUGAAACAUCUAAGUACCUGGAGGAAGAGAAAGAAAAAUCGAUUUCCUGAGUAGCGGCGAGCGAAACGGAAAGAGCCCAAACCAAGAAGCUUGCUUCUUGGGGUUGUAGGACACUCUAUACGGAGUUACAAAAGAAAGUUAUAAAUGAAGCGGUCUGGAAAGGCCCGCCAAAGACGGUAACAGCCCGGUAGUUGAAAUGGCUUUCCCUCCAGAGUGGAUCCUGAGUACGGCGGAACACGUGAAAUUCCGUCGGAAUCCGGGAGGACCAUCUCCCAAGGCUAAAUACUCCCUAGUGACCGAUAGUGAACCAGUACCGUGAGGGAAAGGUGAAAAGCACCCCGGAAGGGGAGUGAAACAGUUCCUGAAACCGUGUGCCUACAAGUAGUUAGAGCCCGUUAAUGGGUGAUAGCGUGCCUUUUGUAGAAUGAACCGGCGAGUUACGAUUUGUUGCAAGGUUAAGCGGAAAAAGCGGAGCCGUAGCGAAAGCGAGUCUGAAUAGGGCGCAUAAGUAACAGGUCGUAGACCCGAAACCAGGUGAUCUACCCAUGUCCAGGAUGAAGGUAAGGUAAUACUUACUGGAGGUCCGAACCCACGCACGUUGAAAAGUGCGGGGAUGAGGUGUGGGUAGCGGAGAAAUUCCAAUCGAACUUGGAGAUAGCUGGUUCUCUCCGAAAUAGCUUUAGGGCUAGCCUCGAGGUAAAGAGUCAUGGAGGUAGAGCACUGUUUGGACUAGGGGCCCUUCUCGGGUUACCGAAUUCAGAUAAACUCCGAAUGCCAUGUACUUAUACUCGGGAGUCAGACUGCGAGUGAUAAGAUCCGUAGUCGAAAGGGAAACAGCCCAGACCACCAGUUAAGGUCCCCAAAUAUAUGUUAAGUGGAAAAGGAUGUGGGGUUGCUUAGACAACCAGGAUGUUGGCUUAGAAGCAGCCACCAUUGAAAGAGUGCGUAAUAGCUCACUGGUCGAGUGACCCCGCGCCGAAAAUGUACCGGGGCUAAACAUAUUACCGAAACUGUGGAUGAACCUCUUUAGAGGUUCGUGGUAGGAGAGCGUUCUAAGGGCGGUGAAGUCAGACCGGAAGGACUGGUGGAGCGCUUAGAAGUGAGAAUGCCGGUAUGAGUAGCGAAAGAAGGGUGAGAAUCCCUUCCACCGAAUAUCUAAGGUUUCCUGAGGAAGGCUCGUCCGCUCAGGGUUAGUCGGGACCUAAGCCGAGGCCGAUAGGCGUAGGCGAUGGACAACAGGUAGAGAUUCCUGUACCAGUGCUAAUUGUUUAACCGAUGGGGUGACACAGAAGGAUAGGGAAUCGCACGAAUGGAAAUGUGCGUCCAAGCAGUGAGUGUGAGAAGUAGGCAAAUCCGCUUCUCGCGAAGCAUGAGCUGUGAUGGGGAAGGAAAUUAAGUACGGAAGUUCCUGAUUUCACGCUGUCAAGAAAAGCCUCUAGGAAGAGUAGUACUGCCCGUACCGCAAACCGACACAGGUAGAUGAGGAGAGAAUCCUAAGGUGAGCGAGAGAACUCUCGUUAAGGAACUCGGCAAAAUGACCCCGUAACUUCGGGAGAAGGGGUGCUCUAUUAGGGUGCAAGCCCGAGAGAGCCGCAGUGAAUAGGCCCAGGCGACUGUUUAGCAAAAACACAGGUCUCUGCAAAACCGUAAGGUGACGUAUAGGGGCUGACGCCUGCCCGGUGCUGGAAGGUUAAGAGGAGUGCUUAGCUUCGGCGAAGGUACGAAUUGAAGCCCCAGUAAACGGCGGCCGUAACUAUAACGGUCCUAAGGUAGCGAAAUUCCUUGUCGGGUAAGUUCCGACCCGCACGAAAGGCGCAACGAUCUGGGCACUGUCUCAACGAGAGACUCGGUGAAAUUAUAGUACCUGUGAAGAUGCAGGUUACCCGCGACAGGACGGAAAGACCCCGUGGAGCUUUACUGCAACCUGAUAUGGAAUGUUUGUACCGCUUGUACAGGAUAGGUAGGAGCCGAAGAGACGUGUGCGCUAGCAUACGAGGAGGCAAUGGUGGGAUACUACCCUGGCUGUAUGACCAUUCUAACCCGCCACGCUUAGCGCGUGGGGAGACAGUGUCAGGUGGGCAGUUUGACUGGGGCGGUCGCCUCCUAAAGAGUAACGGAGGCGCCCAAAGGUUCCCUCAGAAUGGAUGGAAAUCAUUCGCAGAGUGUAAAGGCACAAGGGAGCUUGACUGCGAGACUGACAAGUCGAGCAGGGACGAAAGUCGGGCUUAGUGAUCCGGUGGUUCCGCAUGGAAGGGCCAUCGCUCAACGGAUAAAAGCUACCCCGGGGAUAACAGGCUUAUCUCCCCCAAGAGUCCACAUCGACGGGGAGGUUUGGCACCUCGAUGUCGGCUCGUCGCAUCCUGGGGCUGUAGUCGGUCCCAAGGGUUGGGCUGUUCGCCCAUUAAAGCGGCACGCGAGCUGGGUUCAGAACGUCGUGAGACAGUUCGGUCCCUAUCCGUCGCGGGCGCAGGAAAUUUGAGAGGAGCUGUCCUUAGUACGAGAGGACCGGGAUGGACACACCGCUGGUGUACCAGUUGUUCCGCCAGGAGCAUCGCUGGGUAGCUAUGUGUGGCAGGGAUAAACGCUGAAAGCAUCUAAGCGUGAAGCCCCCCUCAAGAUGAGAUUUCCCAUUUCUUCGGAAAGUAAGAUCCCUGAAAGAUGAUCAGGUAGAUAGGUUUGGAGUGGAAGUGUAGCGAUACAUGGAGCGGACAAAUACUAAUCGAU
Molecule: ribosomal RNA, 2877 nt
Filed under: Listeria monocytogenes
Lineage: Bacteria; Bacillati; Bacillota; Bacilli; Caryophanales; Listeriaceae
Description: partial 23S ribosomal RNA
Rfam family: Bacterial large subunit ribosomal RNA
Source: RNAcentral